This 253-nucleotide ribosomal RNA is filed under the name Barnesiella intestinihominis YIT 11860. Its description in RNAcentral is "partial 16S ribosomal RNA". It matches the Rfam family "Bacterial small subunit ribosomal RNA", at positions 524 to 776 of the family's 1533-position model. The record is from RNAcentral. Lineage: Bacteria; Pseudomonadati; Bacteroidota; Bacteroidia; Bacteroidales; Barnesiellaceae.
UACGGAGGAUGCGAGCGUUAUCCGGAUUUAUUGGGUUUAAAGGGUGCGUAGGCGGCACGCCAAGUCAGCGGUGAAAUUUUCGGGCUCAACCCGGACUGUGCCGUUGAAACUGGCGAGCUAGAGUGCACAAGAGGCAGGCGGAAUGCGUGGUGUAGCGGUGAAAUGCAUAGAUAUCACGCAGAACCCCGAUUGCGAAGGCAGCCUGCUAGGGUGAAACAGACGCUGAGGCACGAAAGCGUGGGUAUCGAACAGG